UACGUAGGGGGCAAGCGUUGUCCGGAUUUACUGGGCGUAAAGCGCACGUAGGCGGCUUUGUAAGUUAGAGGUGAAAGCCCGGGGCUCAACUCCGGAACUGCCUUUAAGACUGCAUCGCUAGAAUUGUGGAGAGGUAAGUGGAAUUCCGAGUGUAGAGGUGAAAUUCGUAGAUAUUCGGAAGAACACCAGUGGCGAAGGCGACUUACUGGACACAUAUUGACGCUGAGGUGCGAAAGCGUGGGGAGCAAACAGG
RNAcentral lists this ribosomal RNA (253 nucleotides) under uncultured bacterium. Its description in RNAcentral is "partial 16S ribosomal RNA". It matches the Rfam family "Bacterial small subunit ribosomal RNA", at positions 524 to 776 of the family's 1533-position model. The record is from RNAcentral.